GANGGUCCAGCCUGCCCAGUGACCAAAAGUUCAACGGCCGCGGUAUUUUGACCGUGCAAAGGUAGCGCAAUCACUUGUCUUUUAAAUAAAGACCUGUAUGAAUGGCUAAACGAGGGCUUAACUGUCUCCCAUUUCAAGUCAGUAAAAUUGAUCUACCCGUGCAGAAGCGGGUAUAACCAUACAAGACGAGAAGACCCUUUGGAGCUUAAGGUAAAACUCAACCACGUCAAGCAACUGCCACAAGCAGCAGCAAACCUUGUGAUAAAUGAGAUUAUACCUUCGGUUGGGGCGACCACGGAGAAAAAGAAAGCCUCCAAGUGGAAUGGGGCAAUNCCCCUAAAACCAAGAGAGACAUCUCUAAGAUACAGAACAUCUGACCAUAAAUGAUCCGGCCACCUAANGACCGAUCAACGAACCAAGUUACCCUAGGGAUAACAGCGCAAUCCUCUCCCAGAGUCCAUAUCGACGAGAGGGUUUACGACCUCGAUGUUGGAUCAGGACAUCCUAAUGGUGCAGCCGCUAUUAAGGGUUCGUUUGUUCAACGAUUAAAGUCCUACGUGAUCAA
RNAcentral lists this ribosomal RNA (565 nucleotides) under Striuntius lateristriga (spinner barb). RNAcentral's name for it is "partial 16S ribosomal RNA". It matches the Rfam family "Bacterial large subunit ribosomal RNA", at positions 1848 to 2607 of the family's 2925-position model. The record is from RNAcentral. Lineage: Eukaryota; Metazoa; Chordata; Actinopteri; Cypriniformes; Cyprinidae.